GACGAACGCUGGCGGCGUGCUUAACACAUGCAAGUCGAACGAUGAACCCGGAGCUUGCUCCGGUGGAUUAGUGGCGAACGGGUGUGUAACACGUGAGUAACCUGCCCUUGACUCUGGGAUAACUGCGGGAAACUGUAGCUAAUACCGGAUACGACCCUCGGCGGCAUCGCCAGGGGGUGGAAAGAAUUCCGGUCAAGGAUGGACUCGCGGCCUAUCAGCUAGUUGGUGAGGUAACGGCUCACCAAGGCGACGACGGGUAGCCGGCCUGAGAGGGUGACCGGCCACACUGGGACUGAGACACGGCCCAGACUCCUACGGGAGGCAGCAGAGGGGAAUAUUGCACAAUGGGCGCAAGCCUGAUGCAGCAACGCCGCGUGAGGGAUGACGGCCUUCGGGUUGUAAACCUCUUUUAGUAGGGAAGAAGCGAAAGUGACGGUACCUGCAGAAAAAGCACCGGCUAACUACGUGCCAGCCGCCGCCGUAA
This 484-nucleotide ribosomal RNA is filed under the name uncultured bacterium. RNAcentral's name for it is "partial 16S ribosomal RNA". It matches the Rfam family "Bacterial small subunit ribosomal RNA", at positions 28 to 523 of the family's 1533-position model. The record is from RNAcentral.